GGGAUAUUAGCUCAGUUGGUUUAGAGCGCUACGUCGACAACGUAGAGGUCACUGGUUCGAAUCCAGUAUGUCCCA
RNAcentral lists this transfer RNA (75 nucleotides) under Cyclobacteriaceae bacterium. RNAcentral describes it as "tRNA-Val". It matches the Rfam family "tRNA". From Rfam's summary of the family: Transfer RNA (tRNA) molecules are approximately 80 nucleotides in length. Their secondary structure includes four short double-helical elements and three loops (D, anti-codon, and T loops). The record is from RNAcentral. Lineage: Bacteria; Pseudomonadati; Bacteroidota; Cytophagia; Cytophagales; Cyclobacteriaceae.